RNAcentral lists this unclassified non-coding RNA (248 nucleotides) under Hevea brasiliensis (rubber tree). The record is from RNAcentral. Lineage: Eukaryota; Viridiplantae; Streptophyta; Magnoliopsida; Malpighiales; Euphorbiaceae.
UGUAAAUAAUGACAGGAGAAUUUCUCCAUGGCAAAGCCUUAAUCGCAAAGGAAGAGCGUCGCUUUCCGUUCUCUCUCUUUCUCUCCGUCUCUUUUGUGCGUAAAAAUUAGUCCAGAAGAGAGAGAAGAAAAGGGAAGAAGAAGAAUGGGAGAUUUAUCAAACAAGAUCGGAAGAGAUGGGCUGAAGCCAGGGGAUCACAUCUGCUCUGCACUUGGAGGUCUGCUUAUAUAUACUCUCAUCAUGGUCUG